AUGGGAUGUGAUUAUGGUCAUGCUGCUUAUUACGAAGCUACGGUGAGCAUUAUGAAGAUGAGCAGGCGAGUGGCUGAUAUAGAGAGCUCCUCGAACGGGGAAGUAGCAUUGCUGGAGGAACUCGAAGAUGAGAAGGAUCCGUUGUCAUGCCUUUGCCUUACUGCUGUGCUGAUACUGGAUGCAACAUUGUGGACCUUUGGUUCGAGCAUGGCCAGCAUCGCCACAGAUUGUAGGGGAGAAAUGUAUUGCCUAAUGAGUUGUAUGCUUUCUUCGGAUCCUCCGUGCUUCCUAUCACAUCUGGCUUGGCCACCUACAGAUUCUUGGGUCUAG
This 330-nucleotide ribosomal RNA is filed under the name Triticum aestivum (bread wheat). RNAcentral's name for it is "partial small subunit ribosomal RNA". Lineage: Eukaryota; Viridiplantae; Streptophyta; Magnoliopsida; Poales; Poaceae. The record is from RNAcentral.